This 609-nucleotide ribosomal RNA is filed under the name uncultured Bacteroidota bacterium. RNAcentral's name for it is "bacterial SSU rRNA". It matches the Rfam family "Bacterial small subunit ribosomal RNA", at positions 71 to 680 of the family's 1533-position model. The record is from RNAcentral. Lineage: Bacteria; Pseudomonadati; Bacteroidota.
GAUUCUCCUUCGGGAGAUGAGAGCGGCGCACGGGUGAGUAACGCGUACGUAACCUGCCUUACAGAGGAGAAUAGCCCUGGGAAACUGGGAUUAAUACUCCAUAGCAUAUAGACGGCGCAUGCUGUCUAUAUUAAAGUUGAGGCGCUGUAAGAUGGGCGUGCGUGCUAUUAGCUAGUUGGUGAGGUAACGGCUCACCAAGGCUACGAUAGCUAGGGGGCGUGAGAGCGUGGCCCCCCACACGGGUACUGAGACACGGACCCGACUCCUACGGGAGGCAGCAGUAAGGAAUAUUGGACAAUGGUCGAAAGACUGAUCCAGCCAUCCCGCGUGCAGGAUGACUGCCCUAUGGGUUGUAAACUGCUUUUAUAUGGGAAGAAUAGCAUAGAUUGGUCUGUGUAUGACGGUACCAUAUGAAUAAGCACCGGCUAACUCCGUGCCAGCAGCCGCGGUAAUACGGAGGGUGCAAGCGUUAUCCGGAAUCACUGGGUUUAAAGGGUGCGUAGGUGGCCCGAUAAGUCAGAGGUGAAAGCCCGUCGCUUAACGAUGGGAUUGCCUUUGAUACUGUUGGGCUUGAAAUAGGUUGAGGUAGGCGGAAUGUGACAUGUAGCG